This 468-nucleotide ribosomal RNA is filed under the name uncultured bacterium. Its description in RNAcentral is "partial 16S ribosomal RNA". It matches the Rfam family "Bacterial small subunit ribosomal RNA", at positions 28 to 507 of the family's 1533-position model. The record is from RNAcentral.
GACGAACGCUGGCGGCGUGCUUAACACAUGCAAGUCGAACGGAAAGGCCCUGCUUUUGUGGUGUGCUCGAGUGGCGAACGUGUGAGUAACACGUGAGUAACCUGCCCUUCACUUUGGGAUAACUUCAGGAAACUGUGGCUAAUACCGGAUAGGCGCUCCUGCUGCAUGGUGGUGGUUGGAAAGUUUUGGCGGUUGGGGAUUGACUCGCGGCUUAUCAGCUUGUGGGUGGGGUAGUGGCUUACCAAGGCUUUGACGGGUAGCCGGCCUGAGAGGGUGACCGGCCACAUUGGGACUGAGAUACGGCCCAGACUCCUCCGGGAGGAAGCAGUGGGGAAUAUUGCACAAUGGGCGGAAGCCUGAUGAAGGAAGGCGGGGUGCGGGAUGACGGCCUUCGGGUUGUAAACCGCUUUCGCAUGUGACGAAGCGUGAGUGACGGUAAUGGGUAAAGAAGCACCGGCUAACUACGUG